CUGUUUUGUUAUAUUUAAACCUAUAAAGAGUGUUAAUUAUUGAAACCAUAUUAACCUAAAUU
This 62-nucleotide small RNA is filed under the name Plasmodium falciparum 3D7. RNAcentral's name for it is "Pfa-npcR6894". The record is from RNAcentral. Lineage: Eukaryota; Apicomplexa; Aconoidasida; Haemosporida; Plasmodiidae.